GUAAUCGAAGUGGGUGUAUGAGUAUCGGAAAAAGGCCAUAAGAUGCGAGUCGUUCCUACUAAGUUACCUUUAUACUGGGAAAGGUUUCACUCUCCGGCCUGGAGAGAUUUGAGAACGGUUCGNAUUUAGGUGAGCCAUGACAGCUGCUAUGGCUGCUGAGAUUGCAGCUUGGAACGUAGCUUCAUCGAAUAAGAGAGUAGGUUUCUUGCUUGUAGACUGGUUGCGCUUCUUCGGUGGCAUGGUUUUCCUACACGGAAAGGAAUACAAGGUAAUGAGAGACGAUGGUUAACCCUGGACAUUUCUUUCCUGAACGUAUUAGGCAUAAAUUUUUCCCGUGCCUUUGGUGCUGGUCGUCUGAGUGUCGACCUACAUCCCUAUGAUGUAGUCCUGGUAAUCGAAAUGGGUGUAUGAGUAUCGGAAAAAGGCCAUAAGAUGCGAGUCGUUCUUACUAAGUUACCUUUAUAUUGGGAAAGGUUUCACUCUCCGACCUGGAGAGAUUUGAGAACGAUUCGGAACGAAACUGCGGAAAAGAGGCUCACAAGGGCAGAUGGCUAAAAUUCUCUCAAUAGAGAUGUGAGGAUCCGCCCUAAUCGUGUAUCUGGCAACGGGAAAUGACGAUUUACCUAACACAUAGCAUGAGCAGUGUAACCACUAACUCACUAAAUUGUAUUAUUUUAUGGGUGUAUUAGCGUGACGAACAC
This 701-nucleotide long non-coding RNA is filed under the name Lactuca sativa (garden lettuce). Its description in RNAcentral is "long non-coding RNA (LSAT_LNC003242)". The record is from RNAcentral. Lineage: Eukaryota; Viridiplantae; Streptophyta; Magnoliopsida; Asterales; Asteraceae.